UCCUGGCUCAGAUUGAACGCUGGCGGCAGGCCUAACACAUGCAAGUCGAGCGGCAGCGACAUAAACAAUCCUUCGGGUGCGCUUAUGGGCGGCGAGCGGCGGACGGGUGAGUAAUGCCUGGGAAUAUGCCCUGAUGUGGGGGAUAACCAUUGGAAACGAUGGCUAAUACCGCAUAAUCUCUUCGGAGCAAAGAGGGGGACCUUCGGGCCUCUCGCGUCAGGAUUAGCCCAGGUGAGAUUAGCUAGUUGGUGGGGUAAGAGCUCACCAAGGCGACGAUCUCUAGCUGGUCUGAGAGGAUGAUCAGCCACACUGGAACUGAGACACGGUCCAGACUCCUACGGGAGGCAGCAGUGGGGAAUAUUGCACAAUGGGGGAAACCCUGAUGCAGCCAUGCCGCGUGUGUGAAGAAGGCCUUCGGGUUGUAAAGCACUUUCAGUUGUGAGGAAGGCAUAUACGUUAAUAGCGUAUGUGUUUGACGUUAGCAACAGAAGAAGCACCGGCUAACUCCGUGCCAGCAGCCGCGGUAAUACGGAGGGUGCGAGCGUUAAUCGGAAUUACUGGGCGUAAAGCGCAUGCAGGCGGCUUGUUAAGCCAGA
This 596-nucleotide ribosomal RNA is filed under the name Photobacterium rosenbergii. RNAcentral's name for it is "bacterial SSU rRNA". It matches the Rfam family "Bacterial small subunit ribosomal RNA", at positions 17 to 592 of the family's 1533-position model. Lineage: Bacteria; Pseudomonadati; Pseudomonadota; Gammaproteobacteria; Vibrionales; Vibrionaceae. The record is from RNAcentral.